RNAcentral lists this ribosomal RNA (375 nucleotides) under uncultured bacterium. RNAcentral's name for it is "bacterial SSU rRNA". It matches the Rfam family "Bacterial small subunit ribosomal RNA", at positions 28 to 402 of the family's 1533-position model. The record is from RNAcentral.
GACGAACGCUGGCGGCGUGCUUAACACAUGCAAGUCGAGCGGUAAGGCCCUUUCGGGGGUACGACGAGCGGCGAACGGGUGAGUAACACGUGGGUGACCUGCCCUUACGCUCUGGGAUAAGCCUGGGAAACUGGGUCUAAUACCGGAUAUGACUCCAUAACGCAUGUUGUGGGGUGGAAAGCCUUGUGCGGCUAGGGAUGGGCCCGCGGCCUAUCAGCUUGUUGGUGGGGUGAUGGCCUACCAAGGCGACGACGGGUAGCCGGCCUGAGAGGGCGACCGGCCACACUGGGACUGAGACACGGCCCAGACUCCUACGGGAGGCAGCAGUGGGGAAUCUUGCGCAAUGGGCGAAAGCCUGACGCAGCGACGCCGCGU